CGAUGGCUCAGAUUGAACGCUGGCGGCGUGCUUAACACAUGCAAGUCGAACGCGAACGGGGGCUUCGGCCCCAAGUAGAGUGGCGCACGGGUGAGUAACGCGUGGACAAUCUGCCCUUAUGACUGGAAUAACAGUUGGAAACGGCUGCUAAUACCGGAUACGCUCAGGAAGAACUUUUUGAGGAAAGGCGGCCUCUGCUUGCAAGCUGUCGCAUAAGGAUGAGUCCGCGUCCCAUUAGCUAGUUGGCGGGGUAACGGCCCACCAAGGCAACGAUGGGUAGCCGAUUUGAGAGGAUGAUCGGCCACACUGGGACUGAAACACGGCCCAGACUCCUACGGGAGGCAGCAGUGGGGAAUAUUGCGCAAUGGGCGAAAGCCUGACGCAGCGACGCCGCGUGAGGGAUUGAAGGUUUUCGGAUCGUAAACCUCUGUCAGAAGGGAAGAAACUGCCGUGCUCUAAUCAUCAUGGCAUUGACGGUACCUUCAAAGGAAGCACCGGCUAACUCCGUGCCAGCAGCGGC
Molecule: ribosomal RNA, 520 nt
Filed under: uncultured bacterium
Lineage: Bacteria
Description: bacterial SSU rRNA
Rfam family: Bacterial small subunit ribosomal RNA
Source: RNAcentral